UACGGAGGGGGCUAGCGUUGUUCGGAAUUACUGGGCGUAAAGCGCACGUAGGCGGACUGGUAAGUCGGGGGUGAAAUCCUGGGGCUCAACCUCAGAAUUGCCUCCGAUACUGGCAGUCUCGAGUGCGGGAGAGGUGAGUGGAAUUCCCAGUGUAGAGGUGAAAUUCGUAGAUAUUGGGAAGAACACCAGUGGCGAAGGCGGCUCACUGGCCCGUAACUGACGCUGAGGUGCGAAAGCGUGGGGAGCAAACAGG
Molecule: ribosomal RNA, 253 nt
Filed under: uncultured bacterium
Lineage: Bacteria
Description: partial 16S ribosomal RNA
Rfam family: Bacterial small subunit ribosomal RNA
Source: RNAcentral